GCAAGUCGAACGGCAGCGCGGAGAGCUUGCUCUCUGGCGGCGAGUGGCGGACGGGUGAGUAACGCGUAGGAAUCUGCCCAGUAGUGGGGGACAACCCGAGGAAACUCGGGCUAAUACCGCAUACGCCCUACGGGGGAAAGCGGGGGAUCUUCGGACCUCGCGCUAUUGGAUGAGCCUACGUCGGAUUAGCUUGUUGGUAGGGUAAUGGCCUACCAAGGCGACGAUCCGUAGCUGGUCUGAGAGGACGAUC
Molecule: ribosomal RNA, 250 nt
Filed under: uncultured bacterium
Lineage: Bacteria
Description: partial 16S ribosomal RNA
Rfam family: Bacterial small subunit ribosomal RNA
Source: RNAcentral